This is a long non-coding RNA of Haemorhous mexicanus (house finch), 7107 nucleotides long. RefSeq lists it as uncharacterized. The transcript has 3 exons. The record is from RefSeq and is a predicted model, not a curated record. Lineage: Eukaryota; Metazoa; Chordata; Aves; Passeriformes; Fringillidae.
GGCCAGCUUAGUGAAAAGUUUAUGGACUUUCUGGGGAGCCUCUGCUACAUUUGUUCAGCUUACACUGAUUUUUUUUCACUGAUUCUUUGGAACCAGGUGAAAAUCUUCUUGAGCAAACAGAAGAAAGGAGAGAAGGACACUGAAUAUGUAAAAUCUGGUACAGACACCUGCAAAAACCAAAGCAGCUGUUUGCUGUGUUGCACUGGCAGGAGUGCUGUGCAGAGCAGGAGAGUGAUUGCCUCACAAAUUUUUGGGGUAUCAGAGGAAAUUUCUAGACCUGCUGGAAUCAGGAUUGGGGCAGAUCCAUCUUGGUGGCUUUCCCCGGGGAACUCAAAAAGGCAAAGACAGGCUGCAACCAGGCCUGAAUGGACCCAUUCUCAGCCAGCUGUGAACACUUGAGGCCAGUCAUAACCUUGAUUUCAGAGCGACCCUCAGUGAUGAAAUAGUUCUGGUGCUGAACAGGGAGCUCAGGCACAGCUCGGACACCUCCCUUUUCUUCAGACAAGCUUUCAUGCUCCUGCACUUGGAGGAGGAUAAAAUUCCCAGUGUGAAGUACUGAAGAGGUUUCCUUUUCCACGGAUUCACAAUGAAAUGUGGUUGGGUUUGUUUUAGUUUUGUUUUUUAAGUUCCUUUCUUCUCACCUCCCAGAUGUUUCCAAUUGAUGAUCUUCUCAUGUCUUUAAAUUUAACUUGUUCCUAUUUAAUUCUUUACAUAUUCUUUGUUAUUUAACAUUUUUGCUAAGACAUGUAGUACAUGUACUGAAAUCCAAGAGGAGCAGUUCUUUGGAUGGAGGAAGUAUUUUUCCCCAGUGAGAUUCUCCCAUCCCUGCCAUACAGGUGUGAAUAGUUUAAUUGCCUUUUUUUGUUUGGUUGCUCAGAUGGGGGUUUUUUGUUUGUUUUGUUUCGUCUUUGGAAGGAGGCAGGGGAGCAGGUAAGGUAGUUGUAAAGCCACAAGACUUAAUUUUAUAUUUUGCUGUUCUGUGACUUUUCCAAGGCUUGUGAGGUACUGAAGAGCUGUGUGAUGGGAAAAAUUACCAAAAGCCUUUUUAUUCAUAUCAGCAUGUUCUGCACGGGCUGUCUUUCCAUUGUGACAUCCCCUCUUCUGGCCUUGCCUCACUCGUCUACACCACCUGUCACUACAGUGGGCAGUGCUGCAAACUGCAAAUCCCUGGAGGAGAUGGAAUCCCUCUUAUUUGGAAGAAGGCUUCUAUUUUCUGGUCUUGCAGUGAGUUUGGAAAUAUCUUGUUGCUUUUGUCAUUGGCUGCUUUGUGACACCUCAGUGUGGAUUUCCCAACUCGUUGGCAGUGCAUCGCUGCUUUCCCAGCUGUCCUGACUGACAGAUUAGGUUGGGAUUUGCACUUGCAGUGUCUGAGCCAGCGAGGGUGGUAUUUGUAUGCACGAUGGAAAUCUUUUCUUCUUUCUUGUGACAUGUCCGCACAGAGCGCGUGCUUCACGUGGUCGUGCUCGUGUGCAGGCAGCGUGUGCCGUGACUGACUGCAGGUGAUGCUCCUCGGGACAUCUGUCCCUGGGCUGCGCUCCCCGUGCUGCUGCCCAUCCCUUCUGCAGCGGAGCAACAGUGCCAACUGCUGGCUGCUGCGCCUGGCCUGCCAUCCCCUAAGCUUCAUUCUGAGCCCAGUGCUGCCUAAAACACAUCAGUGUCCCUCUGCUGACCGUCUGGCUACUUAGCAAUAAUAUCUCAGUUCGUUAGUCCUUUUUUCCAUACCGAAAUAAUAUUCUGUUGAGCUCAGGUAAACCUCAGGUUACCUUUGCUGGCGACAUUUCUAAUUGUUUCAUGUUGGUUUAAAGCUGUGUCUCUCCUUAUCUCCCAGGGCUGGCUGCUCAAAGAGGGGAGGAGGUUUCUGCUCUGAGUAGUGCAGUGCCAUGAACUGCUGCCUGAAAUCAUUCAGCUGUGCCAGCAAUUUGCCAGCUAUGUAUUUGGGACACUCUUAUUGUUAUAACUACAAUGGGCUGGGCUCUGGGGAAAACAAGAUGGUGAUUUAUGUAUUUCUGCACAGCACUUCUAGUCAGUAAAGCAAAAAAAAAAGAAAAAAAAGGGGAGGGUAAGAAAAAUGAGAUAAUAACUGCUGUACAUAUAAGAGUAGUUUUAUUCAAAUUUCAGUGAAAUGUUUUAAUAGAAAAAAAAUAGUUUGAAUUUGUGUUUUGUUUUUCUUUUCCCGAGAGGAAUAGCAAACGGAAAAGACAAGUUUGUUUCUUUAAAUGUUUCCUGGGAGAAGGGGGUUACAAUGUCUGCAGGAGGUGACAGUAGAGAGGACACAUAUAUGGGGAGUAGGAAACUAGGGAAGAAAAAAAGAAUAAAAGGAAACAAUUACGAGAGCUUUUCAGAAGAAGGAGAAAGUGAAUGUGUAAAGCAAUAAACCUGGCAGAGAUGAACAGGGGAAUUUUGCAGAGGAAAAAAAAACGGAGGGAUAGGAGGCAGCCAAACAAACUAAGAGUUUGAUGAGUCAGGGUUUCUGUGGGUUUCUUGCAUCUCCCAAAAGGCCAUUUUUUUACUUCCUCUCAGCCACAAAUGUUCUUCAUUAUUUUUGGAACAGAACACGAAAGGAAAACUAAUAAAUCAGCUAUUCUUAAACAUAUGUGACAAGUCCAGGCUGAGGCACAGGUGGACCACAACCACAGGCGGUCUCUUAAAUCAAAGUCACAGAACUUUGGAUAGCCAGCAGGUUUAGCACUGCUUCCAGCCCUCUGUUACUCUUUCACUCAUGUAGUGUUUUGGGGUUUGGAUAGAGAAAUCUAAACCAGGCAAAAAGAAUGAACAAAUAAAUAAAUAAAUAGAAACAGCAUUUUGAUGCUGCCUUGAUAGACAGGACCAUCAAAACUCCUCCUGUGCAACUGAAACCUCAGUAAAGAAUUCCUUCUUCUUAUCUAAUCCAAACCCACAUCUUUCAGUAUGUACUUGCCUGUUACAAUGACAAUACCUUGACUUUUUAUUACUGGUGUAAAUACUUAAGCUGAAUGUAAUGCCAUUAUUUACUAAUUUUUUUUUAAUUAAACAAAAUAGAUUUUUUUUCCAGGAGAUGUGGUUGCAAUUUUCAAGAGUCUUGUUCUUACCAUGACCUCAUUUGUUUUACUUUCACACAGACAGGUAUUCUUCUGAAACAGUUUAUUUCUCUGAAUAAAGGGAGCGGGCUCCAUGCUUUCUUAUCCAUGGCAGGCCACUGAGAUAAUCAGUCUCUUACUGAAAAUAAAUUGUUAUGUGUAUAAUAUAUGAUUAUGUUAUUAGGGGAAACUAAUGGGAGCAGGGAUGAAAAAGCUGGGCAGAGCUGAUGGAGAGAGAAGGGUGCAAAGGAGUGUAGCUCUGCACACAGAGGUGGGAUGUGAGGCUGGGAAAGGCAGAGGGCUGUCACUUCCUGUACCAGCCAUGGGUUUUCCCUACACUGGGGUGGGAUCCCUUGGGGACAGGUGAGGUGGCUGUGUCUGCUGUCCCUACAGGUGAGCAGGGGCAGUGGUGUUGGGAGCCACGAUGCCGCUAGAUGUCCCUUGUCACCCGAGUGAGGCAGGCAGCUCAUCCCCAUCUCUGCACUUCAGCAUGUGUGAUGUAGUGUUAUAAAGAAACCUGCUCUCUAAGUGUUAAAUAUGGAGAAAAGUUGAGCCUGUAUUUAAAAAAUAAGUCUUGUAUCAGCCUGUCAUGGAUAGCAAGGAGAAAGCUACUUCCUUAGCCACUUUAAUUUUUAUUGGAAGAUAGGGAGGAUUUUGUUUUGAAGAGGUAUUUAUGGGGUAGUUCAAUAUUUCCUGGGGGAGAAGUCAUGCUAGGAAGAGCUAGUUUGGUGACCUAACACUAUGGUUUCAGCUAACCUUUCCCUGCUGACUCAGGCUUGUCUGGUGCGAGGUGGGGGCCUGGCAGCCUGUACCAGCUGAGCUGGUGGUGGGGAAUAUACCUGUGGGACCUGUGGGACAGUGACCCUGUCACUUUAGGCAUGCUUAUGUUGCAAAAGGUGGGUAAAAGGGUCACUUCUGUGAAGAAUUAAGCACUUCCACCUCACUGGUGCAGCCAUACAGCCAAAGGCUCAAUGUGCCCCUGCAGAGGGUGGAAAGGUGGUGGAAAAGGAAGCAGCUGCUGAGGGAGGUGGACUGGUGUAGUCAUGUAGAGUGAAGGGCAGGAGUGUCUAAAGGGGUCACAGGGAAACCUUCCAAACCUGCUUACACCUGGCCCCUCAAAAAUCUCUUCUCACACUUCCCAGCCCCUGUGUCACUCAGCACACACAGAACUCACAGUGCCCAGACACAUGGCUUGUGUUUGUCCUUCCAACCAGCUGUGCUGGUUCUGCCUUGCCAGUGGUGUUUGUGCCUCUCUGCACCAGUUUGACGGCUGGGUUUGAAGAGUGGCCUCCAACAACAGGAGAGUGCUGAUCUCUUAGCAGUCCUUUAAGAGUUAAUGCCUCCCUGUGCCCUAGGCAGGUGGCCAUGUUUUCUCCACAGUGGAAGCUGUGUUUCCAUAUGUCCCUACCUCCUGUGGCUGGCACCUUGGCGUGGGCAUCUGUGCCGCUCUGCAUGCCUGUGCCCUUGUGAAGGCUGCUCUGAGCCUGUGAUGGGCAGCUCCUGCAGCACCCUGUGUGCCCUCUGCACACACCAUGGCUGUGUGAGCAGUGGGCAGGGAUGCCCUAAACUGCCCUAAAAGCAGCUAUUGGGCUUUACCUGCCCAGACAGUGUUAUGGGCUUUGCUCCAAGGUAAGGAAUAAGUGACUGACUGUCACCCAUUUCUCAGGGCUGCUGCCGUGCGUGGCUGCACGAACCAAGCUGUUGAGUAUUCAGUCAUAUCUGCCUGCCUGAAUGACUGAAAUUAAACAUUUGCUGCUUUCUACUUCAUUUAAACCCCUGGGAGCCUGUAGGGCUCCUCCUCCUCAUGCACCAAGGUAUCCAUGUGUGCCACUUAACAAUCAGGGGCUUCUUCAUCAAUAAUGUCUGAGCAAAGCUCUUGAUAACAGAGGGACUACACACAGAUUAUUGUGAUCAUAAUUUGGCCAACGUAGCCUUUAUUACUAAUGGUGAUGUUGGAGAUGGAAAACCCAGCUUGAUUCUCAGAUCCCUGCUGAAAAGUAAUAAAAUAAAGAGGAACAAAAUCUGUGUGUGAAUUUGCUACCAAACCUUUGAAAAACACAAAAGUGGAACCCUGCCAAUGCUUUUGCUGGCAAUUUUUCAUUUUGAGGUAUGAUUAGAAGUGGAAGUGCAUUUUUUGUCUCUGACAUUAGUAUCAUGUUGCUGUGUACAAAUUAUUAAAGGGCUUACAAUCAUUUGACAUUUGUUGUAUUGUGAUUAUUGUGUGCCCCUCUUACACUUACAGAAUGAGUAUUUUUUAAUAUCAUCUGAUAAUAGAGUAAUUAGGAAAUAACUUCAGCUAUCAUAAGAAAAAGGUGUCUAUUUUAUUAACACAAAGAAGAGACAAAGGAAGCACUUCAAUGGAAGUGCUCUGUUAAAAAUGGAGCCAUGUUUCUUUUUGCUUUGUUGAGAAGAUAGAUGAAGGCAGGCUGGCUUUGUGUAGUCUUUUUUUCAUCCCUGGGCAAUGGCAGAACUCGCAGCUAAAUUCUGUUGUCAGAAAAUUCUAUGAUGGUAGCUGAGAAUGAUAUAAUAUCAUGCAUACUCAUUUCAACAACAAGAAAAAAAAUCCUAACCUGUAGCUUGGAUUUUGAAUAUCAGAAAGAGCCUUCACUACCAAGAAAUGAGCCUUCAGUACUAAGAAUAUUGAAAAAGCAACUAAAAUUUUUUAAACAUAAGAAGAGCCAUUUGAUAUAACCAGUAUCAAAUUAAAAAGGAAUGUAAAUGUAAUUUUAAAUUAUUUAUUUCACUCUCUCUCUUUUUUUCGUGUUAUUAUAUCCUUGGCUGUAGUUCAGAAUGACAUGCUAAUUAUGAAUAUAAGAAAACCUAACUUUUUAUUAUGCUAAUUAAACUGUGUGUCACAUAGACAUUUGGGGAGAAUUUCCCAUGCUUUCUAGUGUGAAUGGAAGGAAAGAGCAGCAGUGCUCACUUAAAACUGGAAUUUUUUUCCUAGUACCUUGCAAAAAGGCAUCAUUGUAUUUUGAUUAAUCCAUGCUUGGUCCACGUCGGAUGUUUCUAUGGAAACAGAAUUUUUUUCCUUGAUGGAAAUUGUUAGGCUCAGGAAAGCUCCUCACUGCACAAAAUCAUUUGAGCUCCUGAAGAACUACUUGUUUCAAAUUUAAUGUGCAUAAACAGAACUCCCAGAUUCCUCCUUAGUGUUAUUGUUGUCAAUGUUAAUACAGAACUGUUUUCUUAAUGAUACACAGUGGUGCCUUUUCACUCCACAAGAAAAUAGGGUGAGAGUGGUAUUAUUUCCAUUGCAAAACAGCACUUUUCCUAGUCCAGAAAGAAUUAGCCUGCAAACCAUCCAAAAUUGAAUUUUAUUAAUUCUGAUGUGUAUAUAUUAUUUAGUUCUGGAUCUAAAUAUUUUGGCUUGAUGGCUGUUAAAAUGUAAUUAAUUUUGUUUUGCAGAUUGGCAGUAAUUUACACAUAUUCUUCUUGUGUGCCUUAAUUUUGGAUGUGGAGUUUUGUUGGGGUUUGAUUUGUUUUGGUUUUAGUUUUUUCCUCCCAAAGAAAAUACACUCUCUUACUGGAUGCCACUGUGAUAUUUGGAAUACCUUUUGAAAAUAAACAACAGAGGGAGCAUUUGUGUGUUAUUAUUAAUGUAACCAAAUGGUUGAAACAUGACUCUCAUUUUUCCCAUCAUUUCUGUACAGCAUAUUUAUUGUGUAAAAUUAUAGGAUUUCUUGACCAUUAAAAUAUCUUGGUUUGGAGAGUUUCAGUUUUAAAAAAGUCCAAUCUAGAAUUUAGUCGACAGUGCAAAUAGCUAUUUUAAAUUGAUUGUCCGGUUUAUAUUUUUUUGUUUCAUCUCUGUUCAUCAUGGCAAGGAAUCUCCCAAAUGGAAAAAGGAAAAUCACUUUGAAAGCAACCACACUUUUCAAACUUCUUCCAGAGACAUACCGAAAGCAGAAAUUAAAUGUCAGCCAGAGAAAGCCUCAGUAUUUCUUGGUACCUCUUUUAUGUGCUCACUCUUAGAAUGUGAAUAACAAGGAUGAUGGUGAUGUGCACAGCAUUAGAAUGUGGAUGAUUAUGAUAAUAAAAACAAUAAUGAUACAAA